RNAcentral lists this ribosomal RNA (497 nucleotides) under uncultured bacterium. RNAcentral describes it as "partial 16S ribosomal RNA". It matches the Rfam family "Bacterial small subunit ribosomal RNA", at positions 28 to 507 of the family's 1533-position model. The record is from RNAcentral.
GAUGAACGCUGGCGGCGUGCCUAAUACAUGCAAGUCGAGCGAACAGACGAGGAGCUUGCUCCUCUGACGUUAGCGGCGGACGGGUGAGUAACACGUGGAUAACCUACCUAUAAGACUGGGAUAACUUCGGGAAACCGGAGCUAAUAUCGGAUAAUAUAUUGAACCGCAUGGUUCAAUAGUGAAAGACGGUUUUGCUGUCACUUAUAGAUGGAUCCGCGCCGCAUUAGCUAGUUGGUAAGGUAACGGCUUACCAAGGCAACGAUGCGUAGCCGACCUGAGAGGGUGAUCGGCCACACUGGAACUGAGACACGGUCCAGACUCCUACGGGAGGCAGCAGUAGGGAAUCUUCCGCAAUGGGCGAAAGCCUGACGGAGAAACGCCGCGUGAGUGAUGAAGGUCUUCGGAUCGUAAAACUCUGUUAUUAGGGAAGAACAAAUGUGUAAGUAACUAUGCACGUCUUGACGGUACCUAAUCAGAAAGCCACGGCUAACUACGUG